This 2019-nucleotide ribosomal RNA is filed under the name Triticum aestivum (bread wheat). Its description in RNAcentral is "partial small subunit ribosomal RNA". The record is from RNAcentral. Lineage: Eukaryota; Viridiplantae; Streptophyta; Magnoliopsida; Poales; Poaceae.
AUGAUGCUCAAGGUAACUAACAAUUCUCGCAUGGUAUUAUCCAACUCCGAAGGCCGUGAUAUUUGGAUGGCAGCAAACAACAUCACUACUGAGGCGGUAGGAGCUUAUGCAGUAUUACUCAACUCAGGGAACUUUAUCCUCCGGUCUUCGGACGACCAGGACAUAUGGUUGAGCUUCGAUAAUCCGACCGAUACCGUCCUUCCAAGUAUGAGAUUUGUGGUGAGCUACAAGGCACAAGUCAUCGCACGGCUUGUUGCUUGGAAGGGCCCAGAUGACCCAUCUUCUGGGGACUUCUCAUGCAGCGGCGACCCAAGAUCCCCAGACCUUCAGUUGGUAACAUUGAACAAGGCUAGGGUAUAUUGCCGUAUCAUUGUGUGGGACGGUGUGUCGGUGUCCGGCCGCACAUUUCUAACCAUCACUAGCUCCAUCUUGUACCAAACAGUUGUCAACUCUGGAGACGAGUUCAGUUUCAUGUUCACCCUCUCCAACAACUCACCAUUCGUGCGCCUCAUGCUUGACUACACUGGCAAGUUGAAGGCUCUAGCCUGGGACAACCACUCCAUGUCAUGGACAGUCAUCAAUGAGCUCCCCAAUAAUGCUUGUGAUCUGUAUGGCUCAUGUGGCCCGUUUGGCUAUUGUGACUUCACCGAGGCCAUUCCAACAUGUCAGUGCUUUGAUGGGUUUGAGCCUGUAGACAGUAGUAACUCUUUUAAAGGAUGUCAGAGAACACAGGCGCUUAAAUGCCGCAAGCAAAGCCAUUUCACGUCUUUUCCUGGAAUGAAGGUUCCUGACAUGUUCUUGCAUAUACGCAACAGAAACUUGGAUGACUGUGCAGCUGAGUGCAUCAACAAUUGCUCGUGUACAGCGUAUGCUUAUGCCGACUUGAGUAGCGGAGGUGCUAUGGCGGAUCCGUCAAGGUGCUUAGUUUGGUUAGGGGAGCUUAUUGAUGCUCAGAAGGCAACCGGCGGUGGCGAGAACCUAUACCUCCGACUUGCCGAUUCUCCUGUUCACAAGAAAACCAGUCCAGUAAAGAUUGUACUCCCCAUUAUAUCAUGCCUGCUACUACUGGCAUGCAUAGUCUUCGUCUGGAUGUACAAAUAUAGAGGCAAAUGGGCAAAGAAGAAAAACCAGAAGAAACUGAUGCUAGGAUACAUUAGCACAUCCAACUCACUAGAAGGCAAUAAUACGGAAUUUCCAUGUUUUAGCUAUGAAGACAUACUUUCAGCAACAAAUUUUUUCGCGGAUUCCAGCUUGCUUGGACAUGGAGGUUUUGGCAAAGUUUACAAGGGCACAUUGGAAGGUGGAAAUGAAGUUGCUGUCAAAAGGCUUAGUAAGAGCUCUGGACAAGGUAUAGUGGAGUUCAAAAAUGAAAUAGUUCUCAUUGCAAAACUGCAGCACAAGAACCUAGUCAGACUUCUCGGCUGUUGCAUCCAUGAAGAUGAGAAGUUAUUGAUCUACGAGUACUUAGCUAAUAAAAGUUUGGAUGCCUUUCUUUUUGAUUUUGGUAUGGCAAGAAUCUUUGGUGCAAACCAGAAUCAUGCUAACACAACCUGGGUCGUCGGAACAUAUGGUUAUAUGUCCCCUGAAUAUGCAAUGGGAGGUGCAUUUUCUGUGAAAUCGGACACUUAUAGCUUUGGGGUUCUUCUCUUGGAGAUUGUUAGUGGCAUGAAGAUUAGCUCACCUCAGCUCAACAUGGAAUUUUGUAGCCUUAUAUCUUAUGCUUGGAGAUUAUGGGAAGAUGGAAAAGCUACCGAACUGGUGGACUCCUUCAUUGUUGCGAGCUGCUCACUUCAUGAAAUUGUACGGUGCAUUCAUGUGGGACUUUUGUGUGUCCAAGACAAUCCAAAUGAUAGACCACUAAUGUCCUCGGUUAUGUUUAUGUUAGAGAAUGAAAGUGCAAUGCUUCCACCUCCAAAGCAUCCUGUAUACUUUGCUCUAGGUAAUUAUGAAGGUGAACAAGCCAGGGAGGGAAUGAGUUCCACAAAUGAAAUGAGUAUGACAAUGCUCAAGGGCUGUUAG